This is a long non-coding RNA of Cyprinus carpio carpio, 1208 nucleotides long. Lineage: Eukaryota; Metazoa; Chordata; Actinopteri; Cypriniformes; Cyprinidae. The record is from Ensembl.
GUUUCCGCCCGGACCGGAAAAACAGAACACCGGAACUUCCGGUAGCGCCGUAAGAAGGAAAAUCAGGGAAUUCGAUGCACCUGUGCCUAGUUAGGGACAGCGGUUGGUGAUUGGAGGAUACGCUGGACAAGGCAGUACUUAAGGCCAAGUUAUUUCACAGUCUGGGAGCUCUUUCUGGUGUGUGUGAAGCACUGUGUUGUGCCUGUCUUGGUGCGCUGCUGGUGGCUGUCUAACUCUCUCUCUCCCUCAGGCUGGAAUUGUAUGAUUGUGAAGACAUCGCGAACCUUAAAGGUUGAGAAGUGAACGGAUUAUACGGCGAACUGAGACGACGUGAAAAAGGGGAUUGGAAGCGGCAUUGAUGUGAGUACUAAGAGCCAGUCGAAAGUGCCCUGUAUAUUGACCUGGCGUUGUGUAGAUCUCUCCAGGAGGAGGAGGGCGGCCCUACCCCUAAUAUAGCGUGGUGGGAGAGCCGAAGGAAUACUUAUUGAAGUAGUCACAACGACGACAUCACUAGCUAGGCCGCAUAUUCCAUCGCCAGAUCCGAACCAAGCGAAGUGAAGGAAGACGGGUGUCCUUUUUGUACACUGAGUGUGGUGGGUGAGUCUUCGUGCUGUGAAAACCUAUAAUUUUGACGUGGUGUUGUAUAUUGCUGUGGGCUGCUGUGUAUUGCCGUGUGUCCUGUCAGAUAAACCCCCGCCUUCACGCACUUCGUCGCGGGAGGACAAGGAGACUGCUGGUCCUAGCCUAGUUCAGUACAGUAUAUGUUGUGAGCGUGCUUCAGAUCUCCGGAGAUAGCACGGUACGCUGUGUCCAGCCCAGAGGUGAGAGCCAUUCAAAGCAAACUAACUGUGCUAUUGUGCCCAAGUUGAUACCUGUGGAGAGAAAAGGAGAGAGAGUGGGUAACACGAGGAGAGACCGAGGAAACCUGUACUUACGCCGCUGCCUGUGGAGAAAGAGAAAGCGACCGUUGCCUGAAGAGAAAGAGAGUGAGCACCCCGAGAACGAACUGUGUGAACCAGUACUUACCGGGAGCUGUAUUCAGCGAAGAGGAAGGAGGGCGCUACGGAUACCUAAGACUCAGGCCGGGGCCCGAGUCCCACGCCCCGGAUCCCCGUGGCCCCCUUGCUCCCUGACCUCUUCCCGGCCAUAGCCCAUCUGGAGGGCCGACUCAGAGUUUAGUUUUAAUUGCCCUUUCCCUAUUCCCCAAG